UUUCGUACGUAGCAGAGCAGCUC
Molecule: non-coding RNA, 23 nt
Filed under: Gallus gallus (chicken)
Lineage: Eukaryota; Metazoa; Chordata; Aves; Galliformes; Phasianidae
Also listed under: 2 other names
Source: RNAcentral